GACUCUCGACAACGAAUAUUUCGACUCUUGUCAUGAUGAAGAACAUGGCGAAAUGCGAUACUUAGUGUGAAUCGUAGAAUCCCAUGAAUCAUCGAGUUUUUGAAUGCAAUUUGCGCCCAAGGCCUCAGUCAAGGGCACGUCUGUCUGGGCAUCA
Molecule: non-coding RNA, 154 nt
Organism: Picea glauca (white spruce)
Lineage: Eukaryota; Viridiplantae; Streptophyta; Pinopsida; Pinales; Pinaceae
Source: Rfam